Molecule: ribosomal RNA, 253 nt
Filed under: uncultured Dongia sp.
Lineage: Bacteria; Pseudomonadati; Pseudomonadota; Alphaproteobacteria; Rhodospirillales; Dongiaceae
Description: partial 16S ribosomal RNA
Rfam family: Bacterial small subunit ribosomal RNA
Source: RNAcentral
UACGAAGGGUGCUAGCGUUGUUCGGAAUUACUGGGCGUAAAGGGCGCGUAGGCGGUUCUGCAAGUUGGAUGUGAAAGCCCGGGGCUCAACCCCGGAAUUGCAUUCAAGACUGCAUUACUUGAAUUCGGUAGAGGUUGGUGGAAUUCCCAGUGUAGAGGUGAAAUUCGUAGAGAUUGGGAAGAACACCCGUGGCGAAGGCGGCCAACUGGACCGACAUUGACGCUGAGGCGCGAAAGCGUGGGGAUCAAACAGG